AUGAACGCUGGCGGCGUGCCUCAUACAUGCCAGUCGCGCGAACAGACGAGGAGCUUGCUCCUCUGACGUUAGCGGCGGACGGGUGAGUAACACGUGGAUAACCUACCUAUAAGACUGGGAUAACUUCGGGAAACCGGAGCUAAUACCGGAUAAUAUAUUGAACCGCAUGGUUCAAUAGUGAAAGACGGUUUUGCUGUCACUUAUAGAUGGAUCCGCGCCGCAUUAGCUAGUUGGUAAGGUAACGGCUUACCAAGGCGACGAUGCGUAGCCGACCUGAGAGGGUGAUCGGCCACACUGGAACUGAGACACGGUCCAGACUCCUACGGGAGGCAGCAGUAGGGAAUCUUCCGCAAUGGGCGAAAGCCUGACGGAGCAACGCCGCGUGAGUGAUGAAGGUCUUCGGAUCGUAAAACUCUGUUAUUAGGGAAGAGCAAAUGUGUAAGUAACUAUGCACGUCUUGACGGUACCUAAUCAGAAAGCCACGGCUAACUACGUG
Molecule: ribosomal RNA, 496 nt
Filed under: uncultured bacterium
Lineage: Bacteria
Description: partial 16S ribosomal RNA
Rfam family: Bacterial small subunit ribosomal RNA
Source: RNAcentral